GAUGAACGCUGGCGGCGUGCCUAAUACAUGCAAGUCGAGCGAACAGACGAGGAGCUUGCUCCUCUGACGUUAGCGGCGGACGGGUGAGUAACACGUGGAUAACCUACCUAUAAGACUGGGAUAACUUCGGGAAACCGGAGCUAAUACCGGAUAAUAUAUUGAACCGCAUGGUUCAAUAGUGAAAGACGGUUUUACUGUCACUUAUAGAUGGAUCCGCGCCGUAUUAGCUAGUUGGUAAGGUAACGGCUUACCAAGGCAACGAUGCGUAGCCGACCUGAGAGGGUGAUCGGCCACACUGGAACUGAGACACGGUCCAGACUCCUACGGGAGGCAGCAGUAGGGAAUCUUCCGCAAUGGGCGAAAGCUUGACGGAGCAACGCCGCGUGAGUGAUGAAGGUCUUCGGAUCGUAAAACUCUGUUAUUAGGGAAGAACAAAUGUGUAAGUAACUAUGCACGUCUUGACGGUACCUAAUCAGAAAGCCACGGCUAACUACGUG
Molecule: ribosomal RNA, 497 nt
Filed under: uncultured bacterium
Lineage: Bacteria
Description: partial 16S ribosomal RNA
Rfam family: Bacterial small subunit ribosomal RNA
Source: RNAcentral